RNAcentral lists this ribosomal RNA (2877 nucleotides) under Paraburkholderia kirstenboschensis. Its description in RNAcentral is "bacterial LSU rRNA". It matches the Rfam family "Bacterial large subunit ribosomal RNA". Lineage: Bacteria; Pseudomonadati; Pseudomonadota; Betaproteobacteria; Burkholderiales; Burkholderiaceae. The record is from RNAcentral.
UCAAGCGAACAAGUGCAUGUGGUGGAUGCCUUGGCGAUCACAGGCGAUGAAGGACGCGGUAGCCUGCGAAAAGCUUCGGGGAGCUGGCAAACGAGCUUUGAUCCGAAGAUGUCCGAAUGGGGAAACCCACUCCGUAUGGAGUAUCCAUGACUGAAUCCAUAGGUCAUGUGAAGCGAACGCGGUGAACUGAAACAUCUAAGUAACCGCAGGAAAAGAAAUCAACCGAGAUUCCCAGAGUAGUGGCGAGCGAAAUGGGACCAGCCUGUACUCUUUAUCUUCAUUGUUAGUCGAAGGCUCUGGAAAGUGCCGCCAUAGCAGGUGAUAGCCCUGUAGACGAAAACAGCGAGGAAGAACUAGGUGUACGACAAGUAGGGCGGGACACGUGAAAUCCUGUCUGAAGAUGGGGGGACCAUCCUCCAAGGCUAAAUACUCGUGAUCGACCGAUAGUGAACCAGUACCGUGAGGGAAAGGCGAAAAGAACCCCGGGAGGGGAGUGAAAUAGAUCCUGAAACCGCAUGCAUACAAACAGUCGGAGCCUCGCAAGGGGUGACGGCGUACCUUUUGUAUAAUGGGUCAGCGACUUACAUUCAGUGGCAAGCUUAACCGAUUAGGGCAGGCGUAGCGAAAGCGAGUCCGAACAGGGCGUUCAGUCGCUGGGUGUAGACCCGAAACCAGGUGAUCUAUCCAUGGCCAGGAUGAAGGUGCGGUAACACGUACUGGAGGUCCGAACCCACUAACGUUGAAAAGUUAGGGGAUGAGCUGUGGAUAGGGGUGAAAGGCUAAACAAACCUGGAAAUAGCUGGUUCUCUCCGAAAACUAUUUAGGUAGUGCCUCGUGUAUCACCUUCGGGGGUAGAGCACUGUCAUGGUUGUGGGGUCCAUUGCGGAUUACUACGCCAUAGCAAACUCCGAAUACCGAAGAGUGCAAUCACGGGAGACAGACAUCGGGUGCUAACGUCCGGUGUCAAGAGGGAAACAACCCAGACCGCCAGCUAAGGUCCCCAAAUAUUGCUAAGUGGGAAACGAAGUGGGAAGGCUAAAACAGUCAGGAGGUUGGCUUAGAAGCAGCCAUCCUUUAAAGAAAGCGUAAUAGCUCACUGAUCGAGUCGUCCUGCGCGGAAGAUGUAACGGGGCUAAGCAAUAUACCGAAGCUGCGGAUGCACAUUUAUGUGCAUGGUAGGAGAGCGUUCCGUAAGCCUGCGAAGGUGCACUGGAAAGUGUGCUGGAGGUAUCGGAAGUGCGAAUGCUGACAUGAGUAGCGAUAAAGGGGGUGAAAGGCCCCCUCGCCGUAAGCCCAAGGUUUCCUACGCAACGUUCAUCGGCGUAGGGUGAGUCGGCCCCUAAGGCGAGGCAGAAAUGCGUAGCUGAUGGGAAGCAGGUUAAUAUUCCUGCACCAUUGUUAAAUGCGAUGGGGGGACGGAUCGCGGAAGGUUGUCCGGGUGUUGGAAGUCCCGGUCCUUGCAUUGGAGAAGGCGCUUAGGCAAAUCCGGGCGCGGAAUUCAAGGGUGCGAGGCCAUUCACUUCGGUGAAGAAGCAAUCGGAAGUGGUUCCAAGAAAAGCCUCUAAGCUUCAGUUUAACAAGACCGUACCGCAAACCGACACAGGUGGGCGAGAUGAGUAUUCUAAGGCGCUUGAGAGAACUCGGGAGAAGGAACUCGGCAAAUUGGUACCGUAACUUCGGGAUAAGGUACGCCCCUGUAGCUUGACGCCCCUGCGGGCGAAGGGUGAAGGGGUUGCAAUAAACUGGUGGCUGCGACUGUUUAAUAAAAACACAGCACUCUGCAAACACGAAAGUGGACGUAUAGGGUGUGACGCCUGCCCGGUGCCGGAAGAUUAAAUGAUGGGGUGCAAGCUCCUGAUUGAAGUCCCGGUAAACGGCGGCCGUAACUAUAACGGUCCUAAGGUAGCGAAAUUCCUUGUCGGGUAAGUUCCGACCUGCACGAAUGGCGUAACGAUGGCCACACUGUCUCCUCCCGAGACUCAGCGAAGUUGAAGUGUUUGUGAUGAUGCAAUCUCCCCGCGGCUAGACGGAAAGACCCCAUGAACCUUUACUGUAGCUUUGCAUUGGACUUUGAACCGGUCUGUGUAGGAUAGGUGGGAGGCUGUGAAGCGUGAACGCCAGUUUGCGUGGAGCCAUCCUUGAAAUACCACCCUGAUCUGUUUGAGGUUCUAACCUUGGUCCGUAAUCCGGAUCGGGGACAGUGCAUGGUAGGCAGUUUGACUGGGGCGGUCUCCUCCCAAAGUGUAACGGAGGAGUACGAAGGUACGCUAGGUACGGUCGGAAAUCGUGCUGAUAGUGCAAUGGCAUAAGCGUGCUUAACUGCGAGACCGACAAGUCGAGCAGGUGCGAAAGCAGGUCAUAGUGAUCCGGUGGUUCUGUAUGGAAGGGCCAUCGCUCAACGGAUAAAAGGUACUCUGGGGAUAACAGGCUGAUACCGCCCAAGAGUUCAUAUCGACGGCGGUGUUUGGCACCUCGAUGUCGGCUCAUCUCAUCCUGGGGCUGUAGCCGGUCCCAAGGGUAUGGCUGUUCGCCAUUUAAAGAGGUACGUGAGCUGGGUUUAAAACGUCGUGAGACAGUUUGGUCCCUAUCUGCCGUGGGCGCUGGAUAUUUGAAGGGGGCUGCUCCUAGUACGAGAGGACCGGAGUGGACGAACCUCUGGUGUACCGGUUGUCACGCCAGUGGCAUCGCCGGGUAGCUAUGUUCGGAAGAGAUAACCGCUGAAAGCAUCUAAGCGGGAAACUCGCCUUAAGAUGAGAUAUCCCCGGGGCUUCGAGCCCCUUGAAGGGUCGUUCAAGACCAGGACGUUGAUAGGUCAGGUGUGUAAGCGCAGUAAUGUGCUCAGCUAACUGAUACUAAUUGCCCGUAAGGCUUGAUCCU